RNAcentral lists this long non-coding RNA (1393 nucleotides) under Nicotiana tabacum (common tobacco). Its description in RNAcentral is "long non-coding RNA (NTAB_LNC015462)". Lineage: Eukaryota; Viridiplantae; Streptophyta; Magnoliopsida; Solanales; Solanaceae. The record is from RNAcentral.
GAAAAGAGUACUUCUAUCCGAAAACUAUGAGUUGGAUCCCCCUAGGCGAAACGGUUCUACCCGAGUUAAGCUACAUAAAACAACCUGAGCAAAGAGUACUUCUACCCUGAGCUGGAUCCCUUAAGCGAAACGAUUCUACCUGAGUUAAGCUGCAGAAAAGCAAUCACAGAGAAGAGUACCUCUACUCCAAACUAUGAGCUUGAUCCCCCUAGGAUAAAUGGUUCUACCUAGAUUAAGCUGCGUAAAAACAACCUGAGCGAAGAGUACUUCUACCCGAAAAUAUGAGCUGGAUCCCCCCUAGGCAAAAAGGUUCUACCUGGGUUAAGCUACGAAAAAACAACCUGAGCGAAGAGUACUUCUACCCGGAACUAUGAGUUGGACCCCCUAGGCGAAAAGGUUCUACCUGGGUUAAGUUGUGUAAAAACAACCUGAACGAAGAGUACUUCUACUCGGAAAUAUGAGAUGGAUCCCCCUAGGCGAAAAUGUUCUACCUGGGUUAAGCUGCGUAAAAAUAACCUAAGCGAAGAGUACUUCUACCCGGAACUAUAAGCUGGAUCCCCCUAGGAGAAAAGGUUCUACCUGGGUUAAGCUGCAUAAAAACAACCUAAGCGAAAAGUACUUCUACCCGAAAAUAUGAGAUGGAUCCCCCUAGGCAAAAAGGUUCUACCUGGGUUAAUCUGCGUAAAAACAACUUGAGCGAAGAGUACUUCUACCCGGAACUAUGAGUUGGAUCCCCCUAGGCAAAAAUGUUCUACCUGGGUUAAGCUGCGUAAAAACAACCUGAGCGAAGAGUACUUUUACCCGAAAAUAUGAGUUGGAUCCCUCUAGGCGAAAAGGUUCUACCUGAGUUAAGCUGCGUAAAAACAACCUUAGUGAAGAGUACUUCUACCCCGAACUAUGUGCUGGAUCCCCCUAGGCGAAACAAUUAUACCUGAGUUAAGCUAUGAAAACUAAGUCUGGGUGAAGAAGACUUCUACCCGGAAAUAUGAUAUGGAUCCCCUAGGCGAAAAGGUUCGACCUGGGUUAAGCUAUGAAACUAAGCCGGGGCGAAAAACACUUCUACCCGAAAAUAGGAGCUGGAUCCCCCUAUGCGAAAAGGUUCUACCUGGGUUAAUCUAUGAAAACUAAGCCUGGGUAAAGAGUACUUAUACCCGGAAAUAGGAGUUGGAUCCCCCUAGAUGAAAAGGUUCUACCUGGGUUAAGCUAUGAAAACUAAGCCUGGGCGAAGAGUACUUCUACCCGGAAAUAGGAGCUGGAUCCUCCCUAGGCGAAAAGGUUCUACCUGGGUUAAGCUAUGAAAACUAAGCCUGGGUGAAGAGUACUUCUACCUGGAAAUAGGAGCUAGAUCUAGGCGAAAAGGUUCUACCUGAGUUAAGCUAUGAUAACUAAGCUU